RNAcentral lists this ribosomal RNA (329 nucleotides) under Candidatus Cardinium sp. Its description in RNAcentral is "bacterial SSU rRNA". It matches the Rfam family "Bacterial small subunit ribosomal RNA", at positions 524 to 855 of the family's 1533-position model. The record is from RNAcentral. Lineage: Bacteria; Pseudomonadati; Bacteroidota; Cytophagia; Cytophagales; Amoebophilaceae.
UACGGGAGGUGCAAGCGUUAUCCGGUUUUAUUGGGUUUAAAGGGUGCGUAGGCGGCUUAUUAAGUCAGUUGUGAAAUCCUAGUGCUUAACGCUAGAACUGCGAUUGAUACUAUUAGGCUUGAGUUAAGAAGAGGUAAGCAGAAUUUAUGGUGUAGUAGUGAAAUGCUUAGAUAUCAUAAGGAAUACCAAUAGCGUAGGCAGCUUACUGGUCUUUAACUGACGCUGAGGCACUAAAGCGUGGGGAGCAAACAGGAUUGGAUACCCUGGUAGUCCACGCCGUAAACGAUGAUCACUCGAUAUACAUGAUACAUUAUGUGUGUCCAAGCGAA